AUCGAAUACUCACAACAGAAAAAGAUAACGGCAUAUCAAUAAUCCUUUCAAAACAAAUAUUUUGGAAACAUUUCCUUGAAUAAAAAGCACAAAUUAGUUUAUAUUCCAUAUAUAUGCACUGCACGUGUUAUCUACCUUCUUUGUAAACAAAGAUACUAGUAUAGAAAAUCAUUCAGGCGAAAACAUGAAUUAUAUCCGGAUCAAUGAAAAUUUGUGUACUAACAUAAUUAACCAUAAUAGAUGUUCUAUACUAAUUUUAACGAGGCCGGG
This 270-nucleotide long non-coding RNA is filed under the name Mytilus galloprovincialis (Mediterranean mussel). The record is from RNAcentral. Lineage: Eukaryota; Metazoa; Mollusca; Bivalvia; Mytilida; Mytilidae.